This 145-nucleotide non-coding RNA is filed under the name Guillardia theta. Lineage: Eukaryota; Cryptophyceae; Pyrenomonadales; Geminigeraceae. The record is from RNAcentral.
GUGUCGACAACAAGGAAGAUGAUCUCUCGUGCAGCUGGGUUGUAUCUGGCAUGCUCGAGUAUGCGAUGCGCAAGACUGUCCCGCGGGUGAUGGCGCAGACUCCUCUCACUGACAACUUUCACGCCUCCGACUACCCCGAGCCACA